This 388-nucleotide ribosomal RNA is filed under the name uncultured bacterium. Its description in RNAcentral is "bacterial SSU rRNA". It matches the Rfam family "Bacterial small subunit ribosomal RNA", at positions 28 to 420 of the family's 1533-position model. The record is from RNAcentral.
GACGAACGCUGGCGGCGUGCUUAACACAUGCAAGUCGAGCGGUAAGGCCCUUUUGGGGGUACACGAGCGGCGAACGGGUGAGUAACACGUGGGUGACCUGCCCUCAGCUCUGGGAUAAGCCUGGGAAACUGGGUCUAAUACUGGAUAUGACCUUUCCUCGCAUGGGGUUGGGUGGAAAGUUUUUCGGCUGGGGAUGGGCCCGCGGCCUAUCAGCUUGUUGGUGGGGUGAUGGCCUACCAAGGCGACGACGGGUAGCCGGCCUGAGAGGGCGACCGGCCACACUGGGACUGAGACACGGCCCAGACUCCUACGGGAGGCAGCAGUGGGGAAUAUUGCGCAAUGGGCGGAAGCCUGACGCAGCGACGCCGCGUGGGGAUGACGGCCUCGG